AGAGUUUGAUUCCCUGGCUCAGGACGAACGCUGGCGGCGUGCUUAACACAUGCAAGUCGAGCGGUAAGGCCUUUCGGGGUACACGAGCGGCGAACGGGUGAGUAACACGUGGGUGAUCUGCCCUGCACUCUGGGAUAAGCUUGGGAAACUGGGUCUAAUACCGGAUAUGACCACAGCAUGCAUGUGUUGUGGUGGAAAGAUUUAUCGGUGCAGGAUGGGCCCGCGGCCUAUCAGCUUGUUGGUGGGGUAAUGGCCUACCAAGGCGACGACGGGUAGCCGACCUGAGAGGGUGACCGGCCACACUGGGACUGAGACACGGCCCAGACUCCUACGGGAGGCAGCAGUGGGGAAUAUUGCACAAUGGGCGGAAGCCUGAUGCAGCGACGCCGCGUGAGGGAUGAAGGCCUUCGGGUUGUAAACCUCUUUCAGCAGGGACGAAGCGUGAGUGACGGACCUGCAGAAGAAG
This 466-nucleotide ribosomal RNA is filed under the name Rhodococcus sp. iRIV10. Its description in RNAcentral is "bacterial SSU rRNA". It matches the Rfam family "Bacterial small subunit ribosomal RNA", at positions 8 to 490 of the family's 1533-position model. RNAcentral also lists the same sequence under 1 other name. The record is from RNAcentral. Lineage: Bacteria; Bacillati; Actinomycetota; Actinomycetes; Mycobacteriales; Nocardiaceae.